UAGGGAAUCUUCCGCAAUGGACGAAAGUCUUGACGGAGCAACGCCGCGUGAGUGAUGAAGGCUUUCGGGUCGUAAAACUCUGUUGUUAGGGAAGAACAAGUACGAGAGUAACUGCUCGUACCUUGACGGUACCUAACCAGAAAGCCACGGCUAACUACGUG
Molecule: ribosomal RNA, 161 nt
Filed under: Bacillus sp. 70c
Lineage: Bacteria; Bacillati; Bacillota; Bacilli; Caryophanales; Bacillaceae
Description: partial 16S ribosomal RNA
Rfam family: Bacterial small subunit ribosomal RNA
Source: RNAcentral